CCAACCUCUCCACAAUGGCCAAGACCAGAGAGUUGUAUGCUGGACAUGCCUAAGAGUAUGGUUUUGGAUUUGAAGAAGAUUGGCUACUCUAAAGUGAUGCAGGCUCUAACUCAGUCUGAGAGGCUGGAGAAGUGCGUCAGAGCUGGUAGACCGGAGAGGAGGACAAUACAAGAUUACCACAGAGACUCCAGAAGGAAGCAUCCUCUGCUGGGGCAAUAUGUUUGAGGAGGAAAUGUCAGCAACGAGCAUUGCCCUCAAAAGUGAUAGCCCGCUGUCCUAAAACCUCUGCAGUGGAUAGGCCUUUUGAUUCUAGGUAGGCUUUAUGAAGUAUUUUCUGCACUGAUCUGUACUGAAAGUGUGAUCACAUGCCGAGUAUAAUGCCCAUGUUUCAUAAACUGCAAUAAAGUAUUUUCAAUAUACACACAGCUUUUAUAUACACACCAAAAAGCUUAUUGUUCAUGUUUUGCACAAUGUUUUGCCAAGAUUAUACAUAUAAUCUAUAAUCAGGCCGACUGCAAGAAUGUCCCCUCGAAGCGUCGCAUCGGGACCGAUUGUUGAUUUCUCAAAAAAGCGUCCAGCUGUGUUUCAGACAACCUGACCGGACAUCCUCCCUGCCUUAAAAGCUGAAGAAUUUCUGCAGGAAAGGUCCGAGACCACCUCAAGGAAUGUUCAGGAGCCUUCUCACCUCCAUCUACUGCUCCUAAAUUAAUGUUGUCUGCUUUUCAGUCAGUACUGAUAUUUUAAUCGUUCAGUUUGCUCUUUCAGCCUUGACAAGGCAUUGACUUGGACCACUGAGCCACUUGGGAGUAUUCCUCAUGCACAGUUUUCUUUUUGUCAUUUCUUUGCUGCUGCCAGGUGUGGGACAUCUCCCUUCUGUUGAAGGCCGAAGUUAAUAUUUUGACCUUUGUGAAGUAUAAUGUGGGGAGAGGACUGUAUCCACUCUUCUGUAGUUCAUAAAGCUUGCGAGGCCUUUCUCUGUGUAAGACAUGGCAGACUUCCCUGGCCA
Molecule: long non-coding RNA, 1006 nt
Organism: Esox lucius (northern pike)
Lineage: Eukaryota; Metazoa; Chordata; Actinopteri; Esociformes; Esocidae
Source: Ensembl